RNAcentral lists this long non-coding RNA (1111 nucleotides) under Lynx pardinus (Iberian lynx). The record is from RNAcentral. Lineage: Eukaryota; Metazoa; Chordata; Mammalia; Carnivora; Felidae.
GCUCUCCUCUCCUGCUAAGCUUUGUUUCCUGGCAGUAAUUAAAAUCUUCUGCCACUGCUAUAGCUACUGCUGCUGCUGGAACCGCCACAGCCACCUUGGUUUCAUGGUUUGGCAAAGUAUUGGCCUCCACCACCAUAUGGGCCAGAGCUUCUGCCUCCAAAAUUUCCUCCUUUCAUGGGUCCAAAAUUUGAAGAUUGAUUGUUGUAACUGCCAAAAUCAUCAUAGCUUCCACCACCUCCAAAGUUGCUUCCAUCAUUACCAAAUCCGUUAUAGCCAUCCCCACUGCCACCAUGUCCACCACAUCUCGACUGCCACCAAAGCCACUUCGCCCAAUUAAGUUUCCUCCAUGGCCAAAGUUGUCAUUCCCACCAAAACCACCACCAUGACCACCACCGAAGUUCCCAGGACCACUUCGACCUCUUUGGCUGGAGGAAGCACUAGCCAUCUCUUGCUUAGAUAAAGCUUUCCUUACCUCACAGUUGUGGCCAUUCACAGUACAGCAUUUUUGAAUGACAAUCUUACUUCACAGUUGUGGCCAUUCACAGUACAGCAUUUUUGAAUGACAAUCUUGUCUACAGAGUCAUGGUCAUCAAAUGUUACAAAACAAACAACCUUUCUUUUUGCCACUGCCUCGGUCAGUCAUGGUUUCAAUCACUUCAAUUUUCCCAUACUGUUCAAAAUAAUCUCUUAGAUGAUGUUCUUCAGUGUCUUCUUUAAUGCCACCGACAAAAAUCUUUUUCACAGUUAAGUGGGCACCAGGUCUUUGAAAAUCUUCUCUAGAGACAGUCCUCUUUGGUUCUACAACUCUUCCAUCCACCUUGUGUGGCCUUGCAUUCAUGGCUGCAUCCACCUCUUCCACAGUGGCAUAGGUGACAAACCCAAAGCCUCUGGAACGCUUGGUAUUUGGAUCUCUCAUUACCACACAGUCCAUAAGCGUUCCCCAUUGCUCAAAAUGGCUCCUCAGACUCUCAUCGGUUGUUUCAAAGCUCAAACCUCCAAUGAAAAGCUUCUGCAGCUGUUAGGGCUCUUUGGGAGACUCUGACUUAGACAUGACGGCGGGGGGAGGGGAGACUUUCACGAUGCUUACUUGGCGGCGUCCACGGGCAGAAAG